Molecule: long non-coding RNA, 3525 nt
Organism: Varanus komodoensis (Komodo dragon)
Lineage: Eukaryota; Metazoa; Chordata; Lepidosauria; Squamata; Varanidae
Exons: 2
Source: RefSeq, a predicted model, not a curated record
CGGGCGGGGGCAGCCCCAGUUUCCCCCUUAACGCUGGCGAUCUCCCGGGCGGGCGAUGAGAAGUUAGGCCGUGGCUGGCUUGGCAAGACGUGGCUUUCUCCCAGGAUUCCGUCUCACAAUCCGUAGGGGACGGAGGAAACUCAACAAGCGGGCUGGCUGAGACGUGCAUGUGGCUCUGGCCCAGCCAGACCCUGACCGUGUCUUCCUACUUCCGUGUCUGAUUGGAAGAAGCAAAUGCUGAUUCCUUUUAUGUGGGAGGCAGAAGCCAAAGAGGACAAGCUAGUCAGAAGCCCUGUGACCUCAGCCAGCAGCAGAAAAGUAACUGCAGCAGAGGAAGAUGUGAAAAAGCUGCCACAUUCAUCAUUGCCGAAAGGCUCCCAAUCUACCCUCAAGACAAUGAUGGGUUGCAAAAAGAAGUCACAUGGGUUUACAAAAAUGUCUGGAGCAGAACAGAACCCUAUACACAUGCAUUGUCAUUGUCUGUCAUUGUGGUAGCACAGAAUCAGAAUGUCACCUGUAGCAGUCAACAUUUAUUGGUCACAAGGGUGGCAUGCUUUUCCAAAGUCACAAGACCUCUUGCAAUAUGCUGGCUGUAGUUCAAUUUCUUGCUGUAAUACCAAUAGCACAGUUUCAGCCAUGUUCUGAAAAUUAAAAAAGUUGGCCCCAAGUGUGGAUUCUGUACAGCUUAUUAGAGCAGAGUAGAUUUAGAUCCAGCUUCUCAGAUAGGCCAGAGAUAGGACUGGUCCCAUUGUGCCCCAUAAAAUCUACCAAGCAAUCCAGAAGGACACCAUGGUUAAUGUUAUCAAAGCUACCAAGAGGUCCAGGAGAACUGAUAAUGGUCAACCUGGGGGUCAUUUCUCAACACUAUCUCUCAGGAAUGUUGUAAGGAUAGAAGCAGUGGUGUUACCAAUUUUUAAAAAAGCUAGGAGAAGAAGGGUGGAAAGUAUAUUUUGCCAAGCACAUACAGCUUUGUCCCAAAUUUCUAAAAGAAAUAGCCGUAUAUUACACAUUAAUGCUCUCAACCUAAGUAUAAUUGUCUGGAAUAAGUCCUACUGAUUUUCAUGGAGUUAAUAUUUCAAUGGACUGAAAUUUUGCACUACAGACUUAUUUUAAUUUUCUAGUUUAUGACACAGUGAUAAUAUUUUGUAUGUGAAAUGUAGCUUUCUUCCUGUAACCUUCAGGGUCUGGCUACAAGGGGAGAUGUGGGAACAAACUCCUUCCCCUAUGGUGCCACCUGUGGCUAAGAUCGGAUGAAACAAAGGAUUAAAAUGCAUGUUAAAAAGAGCUUUGGAACAGACUCCAUCUUGGGCAGUGGGGGGGCAGCCUAUUCCAAAUGCAGAAUGUGACUUUCUACUUGUAGCAGACCUGUCCAGCUUCCUCGAAAUCUCUCUGACCAGUGUCUUAUCAUAAGUGAAAUAGAAAAAGCUUUUCCCCUGUGAUAAUAUCAAUUAGUUUUCAGAAAGCAUUUCUGUUUGAAAAUGUAGAACAUAGUGAUAAAGUACAAAUUAAUAAAGAAUAAAAGUUAUAAUGGCAUUUGACACAAUUUGUGUACCCAGCCACAAAGUAUUUCAGGCAUUCCACCUCUUUCCCCCAGUCUACUUCUUUCCACAGCCUCAUUAGUAUUUAGUGGUUACUGCUUUGGGAGAGGCCACACAAUGAGGCUGUAGUGAGUUAGGGUUAGGGUGGGUUUCAAUUUUUUGCCUUCUAACCUUUUUUCCCCCCUCUAAAGCAUCUCCCUCCUUUUCUGAAAAUACUGGGGCUUCUCCUAGCCUACUAAUACACCUUUUGUUUUUCAAUAGCCAUGUUUUGGCAAUACAUCUAUCAUAAUUUGGCACCUGAGUUUGCUAGUAGAAUGUACAGAUGGAAUCUCCAACAAAAUGUGUGUCUUUUGCCUUUCAAGACACACAUCCUUUCAUGCCCCUUUCAAGGAUAUUCCAUUCCAUUUCUUCUCUCAACUGGCAGUCAGCAUUGUAUGCCCAUUUUGUAUGCACAUUCCUACUUGCUCUGUUUUCAGGGGCUUUCUUACCAUAGGUUGUUUUCCCCGAAGUUUUUUUUUAAAGCAGUGGGGAAAGGGGGUUCGAUAAACCCUGGAGUUUCCCCAGGCUGGUGAUAACUCCUUGUGCCCAAAUGAUGGUAUUUUGGCUACAAAAUUAUAGGUACUUGAAGAAUGCAUUAUGAACAUGUAUGAUUAUUUUUAUUGUCACUUGAUAUUGUGGUAUUAAGUAUUUGUUACUGUUCUAAGAAAAUGAUGUUCUAUAUAUACUUAUGGAAAUAACUAUUUAACUUUUUAGCCUUUAACCUUUGGAUGAAAUAGUAAGCAACGUGACUGGUUGAUUGUGUUAACAUUUAAAAAUCUGGAACAAAAUUAAUUUCCUCCAGGCCUAAAGGUUUGUUUAGAUAAUGGUCUUACUGUACAAACAAGCCACCACACAAACCCAGAGCCAGCCCUGUGCCAGUUCUGUGCCAGCUUUCACACCCUUCCAGCUACUGCUUCCAGGUGCACUCCAGCCACUUCCAGGUCAGUGAAAGGAACCAGGAAAGCAGGAAGAGUGCCCUGCUGGCUAAGGGGGGGUUGCCCAGUAGACUUACAGCCAGACAACCUUUUUAGGUUUCUGGUAAGGGCAGCAGCCAAAGAGCGGAUGUCAAAGGGCAUAGCCCAUAAGGCACCUGCUUGGCACCUGCUUGGAAGCUGCUGGGCCUGUCCCCUUUCUUUCCCCCUUUUUGUUUGUUUGUUUUGUUGUAUGCAUCUGUGUGUAUGUUUUGUGUGUAUGGAGUGGGACUUGGAUAAUUUGGCCAGAAUAUUGAAAGGUGUGAGAGUUUUACCAUAGGCACUUCCCCCUUCUUUCAGUAUUUGUUUGUAAUUGAUUUUAACAUGUCACUGGGAAUUCCUGGAGAGCAGUGGAUGCCCCUAUCACUGUAGUCACGGGCAGUGUAAGGUAUAGCACUGGGAGAUCAACUAGCCAACAAAGGGGAAAGGGGAUUAGAUGUCAGACUGCUAUCCCCUCCUCUGGUUUUCCCCCUGCCAGUUGAUACCAGGCAGCCGUGUCAGCCAAAUGCCCCCAGGCCUGGUGGUGCUGCUAAUGAAUGCCAGGUCAGUCCAGAAUAAAACAGCUCUUGUCCAUGAUUUAAUCAAGGGUUUAAUUGGCAUGUAUUACAGAGACCUGGGUGGGAGAAUUAGGGGUGAUACGCUUACACAGCUUUGCCCACCCAGGUAUUCUAUACAGCACCAACCUCAUCCUGAGGGUUAGGGAGAGGGAGUGGCCAUGGUCAACAAAAAUGCAAUCCCUCUCAAUUGAAUUGAAAGACAGGUUUUAGAGUGUUUACACCUUUUAAGUUUUAGGCAACUUCUUAAUAGUUUUACAGUGGCUUCUCCUGAAACCUUUAAUCUUGUUGCUGAGCAUGUGAUUAUUUAUUUGUAUUUUAUACUAUGAAUUUUAUGCUGCCCACAGCUUUGGUAUCCUUUUUAUAAAGUGGUAUAUAAAAGUGUUUAAUAAUAAAUAAAACACAACUUGUUUUUUAAAGGAA